AGAGUUUGAUCAUGGCUCAGAACGAACGCUGGCGGCGCGCCUAAUACAUGCAAGUCGAGCGAGAAGGUGUAGCAAUACACUUGUAAAGCGGCGAACGGGUGAGGAAUGCAUGGGUAACCUACCCUCGAGUGGGGAAUAGCUAGCCGAAAGGUUAGCUAAUACCGCAUACGUUUCCGGAACUUCGGUUUCGGAAAGAAAGCAAUACCGUGGGUAUUGCGCUCCUGGAUGGGCUCAUGUCCUAUCAGCUUGUUGGUGAGGUAACGGCUCACCAAGGCUUCGACGGGUAGCUGGUCUGAGAGGACGAUCAGCCACACUGGCACUGCGACACGGGCCAGACUCCUACGGGAGGCAGCAGUAAGGAAUAUUGCGCAAUGGACGAAAGUCUGACGCAGCGACGCCGCGUGGGGGAUGAAGGUCUUCGGAUUGUAAACCCCUUUCGGGAGGGAAGAUGGAGUGGGUAACCACUUGGACGGUACCUCCAGAAGCAGCCACGGCUAACUUCGUG
RNAcentral lists this ribosomal RNA (505 nucleotides) under uncultured bacterium. RNAcentral's name for it is "bacterial SSU rRNA". It matches the Rfam family "Bacterial small subunit ribosomal RNA", at positions 8 to 507 of the family's 1533-position model. The record is from RNAcentral.